GAAUCUUCGGAGGAUUUGUUGGGCGUCGAGCGGCGGACGGGUGAGUAAUGCCUAGGAAAUUGCCUUGAUGUGGGGGAUAACCAUUGGAAACGAUGGCUAAUACCGCAUAAUGCCUACGGGCCAAAGAGGGGGAUCUUCGGACCUCUCGCGUCAAGAUAUGCCUAGGUGGGAUUAGCUAGUUGGUGAGGUAAUGGCUCACCAAGGCGACGAUCCCUAGCUGGUCUGAGAGGAUGAUCAGCCACACUGGAACUGAGACACGGUCCAGACUCCUACGGGAGGCAGCAGUGGGGAAUAUUGCACAAUGGGCGAAAGCCUGAUGCAGCCAUGCCGCGUGUAUGAAGAAGGCCUUCGGGUUGUAAAGUACUUUCAGUUGUGAGGAAGGGGGUGUCGUUAAUAGCUGUAUAUCUUGACGUUAGCAACAGAAGAAGCACCGGCUAACUCCGUGCCAGCAGCCGCGGUAAUACGGAGGGUGCGAGCGUUAAUCGGAAUUACUGGGCGUAAAGCGCAUGCAGGUGGUUCAUUAAGUCAGAUGUGAAAGCCCGGGGCUCAACCUCGGAACUGCAUUUGAAACUGGUGAACUAGAGUGCUGUAGAGGGGGGUAGAAUUUCAGGUGUAGCGGUGAAAUGCGUAGAGAUCUGAAGGAAUACCAGUGGCGAAGGCGGCCCCCUGGACAGACACUGACACUCAGAUGCGAAAGCGUGGGGAGCAAACAGGAUUAGAUACCCUGGUAGUCCACGCCGUAAACGAUGUCUACUUGGAGGUUGUGGCCUUGAGCCGUGGCUUUCGGAGCUAACGCGUUAAGUAGACCGCCUGGGGAGUACGGUCGCAAGAUUAAAACUCAAAUGAAUUGACGGGGGCCCGCACAAGCGGUGGAGCAUGUGGUUUAAUUCGAUGCAACGCGAAGAACCUUACCUACUCUUGACAUCCAGAGAAGCCAGCGGAAAACGCAGGUGUGCCUUCGGGAACUCUGAGACAGGUGCUGCAUGGCUGUCGUCAGCUCGUGUUGUGAAAUGUUGGGUUAAGUCCCGCAACGAGCGCAACCCUUAUCCUUGUUUGCCAGCGAGUAAUGUCGGGAACUCCAGGGAGACUGCCGGUGAUAAACCGG
Molecule: ribosomal RNA, 1105 nt
Filed under: Vibrio splendidus
Lineage: Bacteria; Pseudomonadati; Pseudomonadota; Gammaproteobacteria; Vibrionales; Vibrionaceae
Description: bacterial SSU rRNA
Rfam family: Bacterial small subunit ribosomal RNA
Source: RNAcentral